GUCAGAGUUUGCAUACAGAACCUUUCUUUGGUUUGACAGCGUUUAUGAUUGUUAUUAUUUCUUUUCAAAUGCAUAUGAACAGAGACAAUUAUUCGAAGUGAUAAUAAACACUGGAAAGCCAGACUUAUACGCUGCCCAAACUUACUGUGAUUUUUUACUAGAAACUCUACAGAAAAGUGGAUUGAGCUUGAACCCACACAAUUCUGGCAUUCACUGCUAUUCAUGGAUCAGAUUCAAACAAGCGAUGAUUCCCGAGUGGAUAUAGUGUCAUGAUGGAAUAUUACAGAAAGGAUGAAAUUGUUGCACAAUUUAUUCAAAUUUGGAUGAAAUCGGUGGUACGAAUUUGUUCGAAUUUAAGAUUGAAACACGGCUAUAUUCUAUCCUAUAUCUAAAUGUUUCAAUCUCAUCAAUCUUUUUGUUUGUAUUACUUAAAAUCGACACUACAGGACCACAGAAAUGGUUGCAGAUCAUUUCCUGCUGAACUUUUUGAAAUGGGUUUCUAGAUGCUGAUUAAUUGUUUUGCUUCUUGAAGUUUAGUAUGCUAGGCUACUAUUAGUGUGAUAUACCAAUUAUAACUUGUAAAUGCUAAGAUUUGUUAAAUUAUGAAUGAAAAAUUGUGAAUUCUAAACGCUUGAAGACUUUGGCGCUUGAAAACGAGAACUCAGAAUCUAAACUAGAAGAUGAAAAUGGUGCGAAAUCGACUGAACCACCCAAUGGCAAGUUGAUGAAAUUUUUGGUCUAAGGAAAAAGUGGAUAUGAUGAAUUGUUGAAUAGUUUGAUUAAAGUUAAUGUUGAAGGGACAACUAAGGUGACACAAGCUGGUGUUACCAGGGAUGCUGAAGAGGAAAAAAAUGGUUAUUGUGAAUAUUGGUUCUGGUGCUACUAUUGUUAUCCUUUGUGAUCCUUUUUAUGUUGUUUGUGUUGCAACAAAAGCUUAAGUUUCUAAUUUUUUAAUCGGAUUUGAUUGC
Molecule: long non-coding RNA, 968 nt
Filed under: Helianthus annuus (common sunflower)
Lineage: Eukaryota; Viridiplantae; Streptophyta; Magnoliopsida; Asterales; Asteraceae
Description: hypothetical non coding rna
Source: RNAcentral